UCCCAAUGCAAAGUCUAUGGCCAGCCGCGACCUGACGCGACUUGGCGACCGCCGGCUGCCUGCGACGCGACCUGACGCGACCUAGCGACCGGUCGCCAAGGCGCGUCCCCGAGGUCGCGUCGCCGAGGUCGCAGGACGCCAAGUCGCGUCGCUCCCAAAGUUCAAAUAUUUGAACUUUGGGAGCGACUCCGUGCCGCGACAGCCAAUCAGGGCUCUGCUGACGUCAACAAACCGGCGAAACAAGGAAGAGGAGAAGAAGAAUCACAAUGGAGGAGCAGUUAAUCACAUCCGUUAGCUACCACCCGGUGCUAUACGACGUGGGUUGCGGGCUGUACCGGGACCGCAACGCCAAAGAAGAAGCAUGGGGGAAGGUGGCCCGUGAUGUCGGGCUUUCUGGUAAGCUUGUUUGUUUAUUUAUUUAUUUCAGUGAGUGGACUGUUUUAUGAAAACAUAGAUAACUGCCCCUGCUUGCUAGGGUACAUGUUUCAACGUAUGUGUGUGUGUCUUUGCAGAGGAUGUGUGCCGCAAGCGGUGGAAGGGGCUUAGGGACGUUUAUAUGAGGGAGAAAAGGAGAGAGAAGGAAGGUGGGAGAAGCGGGUCGGCGGCCUCCCAGCAGAAGAAGUGGCGUUUCUCUGCGGUAAUGUCGUUCCUCGACCCUUUUAUGGCCCCGAGGGAGACAAGCAGCAACAUGUCUCGGGAGGUCAAGGAAGACAUCACCGCAGAAAAUGCUGCUGGGAUGCCCGAAGAGCUUGAGGAAGCAGGCCCCUCAGGAGUGGAGUUUGACGGUUAGUUGAUGAGUGAAAAAGAUAGCAAGUAAAUUUGAGUCCCCUCAUGGUUUAAACACACCAUUGUAGUCUAAUUUAAGAUGGACAGAUCAAAUCAUGCACAUAUAAUUUCUGAACAUUUUUAAUUUGAAUUGCAAUGUUGCCUGAUUGCAGAGUUUUGGAUUUCAAACAUUUUUGUCACAACUUUAACUACAGAUAAGCCUGCUCUCUCUCCUGCUUCAGCUCCCUCUCCUGCUCAAGCUCCAUCUCCUGCUUCAGCUCUGUCACCUUCUCCUGCCCCCUCAUUGUCUCCUGCUCCCUCAUCUGCUUCAAGUGAUGCCUCAGGCCCCACUGCAGCCAGGCCAAAAGGUAUUGAAAAAAAUAUUAACCAUAUCUUCAAUGAAAUUGUUCAAGGUCAAAUUCACAUAGAAAUUAUGAAACAAAUAGUAACAGAUUAGUUUUUUUUUUUUAUGACAGGGAGGAAGAGAAGGACGCUUCCCUCCUCGAGACUGGAGGAGCUAGAGGAGCUCCUCUUUCUGGCACUGCGGAGGCAGCAGAAUCCCCGUCCACCAACACCACCACCACCACUGCCGCAAGCGGUGGAAGGGGCUCAGGGACGUUUAUAUGAGGGACAGACAGAUAGACAGGCGCUCCGAAGCUGAGAUGGAGCGCCUGUAUUUCGUGUCCAGGCGGGAGAUGCUGCUUCCCACCCGGGCGAGGAGGUCCUCGAACUGCGCCGUCGACACAC
Xyrichtys novacula (pearly razorfish) is the source of this 1512-nucleotide non-coding RNA. The record is from the annotation of a GenBank genome assembly. Lineage: Eukaryota; Metazoa; Chordata; Actinopteri; Labriformes; Labridae.